Molecule: long non-coding RNA, 200 nt
Filed under: Vigna radiata
Lineage: Eukaryota; Viridiplantae; Streptophyta; Magnoliopsida; Fabales; Fabaceae
Description: long non-coding RNA (VRAD_LNC010497)
Source: RNAcentral
GGGCAAUGAGUUGAACCAUUCUAACACCUCUCCCUUCAAUGACAAGGAGAACGCUUAACACCAUAUGGCAUCACUACCAGUGCAUAAUGCCAUCGUGUUGGAGAAGGUCUUGAUGUAGGCCUCCGGGUCGGUCGUCCCGUCAUAUACCUUGAAUUGGUGUGGAACGAAUUUUCGAAUAUGUGUACGUCCAUGAUUGCCUG